UGAAAAAGGUGCUGAGUGAUUUAAAAUAAAAGAGCAUGUGGACAUAACAAAUUGCCCAUCAUGCAGUCCAAGUCUCUAAGAAGUUAAGCAGUUAUUUCAUGUGAAGUUACAUAGAACCAUACUUAGAAUACAUAUAAUAUAAUAUUAUCAUCCUCCUUGUCUAAUAAGAUUAUUGAAACAGAGAUUUGUGCUGCAAGCAUAACAAAUACCAUUUCGAUCAUAUGAUUAAUGAGCACCAGUGGCUUCAGCACAAUUGCAUAUUUGUAUAUAAGCUUUCUUACUUCAAUAACACAGCUGUAUAUAAAACUUAUAAAUGACCAAGUGAUCAUACCAAAAGGUUUUGAGGUUUAA
This 351-nucleotide unclassified non-coding RNA is filed under the name Hevea brasiliensis (rubber tree). Lineage: Eukaryota; Viridiplantae; Streptophyta; Magnoliopsida; Malpighiales; Euphorbiaceae. The record is from RNAcentral.